Molecule: unclassified non-coding RNA, 290 nt
Organism: Pongo abelii (Sumatran orangutan)
Lineage: Eukaryota; Metazoa; Chordata; Mammalia; Primates; Hominidae
Rfam family: Metazoan signal recognition particle RNA
About the family: The signal recognition particle (SRP) is a universally conserved ribonucleoprotein. It is involved in the co-translational targeting of proteins to membranes.
Source: Ensembl
GCCGGGCGUGGUGGCGCAUGCCUGUAAUCCCAGCUACUUGGGAGGCUGAGGCAGGAGAAUCGCUUGAACCUGGGAGGCAGAGGUUUGUGGUGAGCUGAUUUUGCGCCAUUGUACUCCAGCCUGGGCAACAAGAGCGAAAUUCUGCCUCAAAAAAACAAAACAAAACAAAACAAAAAUUUAUAUAUUUUGGAUAUGGAGUCUCAUUUUGUCACCCAGGCUGGAGUACAGUGGUGCAAUCUCAGCUUACUGCAACCUUUGCCUCCCAGGUUCAAGCGAUUCUGGUGCCUCAG